GAUGAACGCUGGCGGCGUGCCUAAUACAUGCAAGUCGAGCGAACGGACGAGAAGCUUGCUUCUCUGAUGUUAGCGGCGGACGGGUGAGUAACACGUGGAUAACCUACCUAUAAGACUGGGAUAACUUCGGGAAACCGUAGCUAAUACCGGAUAAUAUUUUGAACCGCAUGGUUCAAAAGUGAAAGACGGUCUUGCUGUCACUUAUAGAUGGAUCCGCGCUGCAUUAGCUAGUUGGUAAGGUAACGGCUUACCAAGGCAACGAUGCAUAGCCGACCUGAGAGAGUGAUCGGCCACACUGGAACUGAGACACGGUCCAGGCUCCUACGGGAGGCAGCAGUAGGGAAUCUUCCGCAAUGGGCGAAAGCCUGACGGAGCAACGCCGCGUGAGUGAUGAAGGUCUUCGGAUCGUAAAACUCUGUUAUUAGGGAAGAACAUAUGUGUAAGUAACUAUGCACAUCUUGACGGUACCUAAUCAGAAAGCCACGGCUAACUACGUG
Molecule: ribosomal RNA, 497 nt
Filed under: uncultured bacterium
Lineage: Bacteria
Description: partial 16S ribosomal RNA
Rfam family: Bacterial small subunit ribosomal RNA
Source: RNAcentral